This 44-nucleotide non-coding RNA is filed under the name Aristerostoma sp. ATCC 50986. Lineage: Eukaryota; Ciliophora; Colpodea; Cyrtolophosidida; Cyrtolophosididae. The record is from RNAcentral.
CUUUUUUUUUUUUUUUUUUUUUUUUUAAUUAUUGCUUCGAAAGG